RNAcentral lists this unclassified non-coding RNA (191 nucleotides) under uncultured Ascomycota. Its description in RNAcentral is "sequence contains ITS1". Lineage: Eukaryota; Fungi; Ascomycota. The record is from RNAcentral.
UCGAGUUAGGGUCCUCCGGGCCCGACCUCCAAACCACUUGCCUACCGACCACUUGUUGCUUCGGCGGGCCCGUCCCCCCGAUAGGGGGCGACCGCUGGGGGGCCCACGCCCUCUGGCCCGCGCCCGCCGGUGGCCCUUAUCUAAACUCUUGUCAAAAUCGUGUCGUCUGAGUUGAGAAAAUAAUCAAAACA